ACUAAGCGUACACGGUGGAUGCCCUGGCAGUCAGAGGCGAUGAAGGACGUGCUAAUCUGCGAUAAGCGUCGGUGAGGUGAUAUGAACCGUUAUAACCGGCGAUUUCCGAAUGGGGAAACCCAGUGUGUUUCGACACACUAUCAUUAACUGAAUCCAUAGGUUAAUGAGGCGAACCGGGGGAACUGAAACAUCUAAGUACCCCGAGGAAAAGAAAUCAACCGAGAUUCCCCCAGUAGCGGCGAGCGAACGGGGAGGAGCCCAGAGCCUGAAUCAGUGUGUGUGUUAGUGGAAGCGUCUGGAAAGGCGUGCGAUACAGGGUGACAGCCCCGUACACAAAAAUGCACAUAUUGUGAGCUCGAUGAGUAGGGCGGGACACGUGGUAUCCUGUCUGAAUAUGGGGGGACCAUCCUCCAAGGCUAAAUACUCCUGACUGACCGAUAGUGAACCAGUACCGUGAGGGAAAGGCGAAAAGAACCCCGGCGAGGGGAGUGAAAAAGAACCUGAAACCGUGUACGUACAAGCAGUGGGAGCCUCUUAAUGGGGUGACUGCGUACCUUUUGUAUAAUGGGUCAGCGACUUAUAUUCUGUAGCAAGGUUAACCGAAUAGGGGAGCCGAAGGGAAACCGAGUCUUAACUGGGCGUUAAGUUGCAGGGUAUAGACCCGAAACCCGGUGAUCUAGCCAUGGGCAGGUUGAAGGUUGGGUAACACUAACUGGAGGACCGAACCGACUAAUGUUGAAAAAUUAGCGGAUGACUUGUGGCUGGGGGUGAAAGGCCAAUCAAACCGGGAGAUAGCUGGUUCUCCCCGAAAGCUAUUUAGGUAGCGCCUCGUGAAUUCAUCUCCGGGGGUAGAGCACUGUUUCGGCAAGGGGGUCAUCCCGACUUACCAACCCGAUGCAAACUGCGAAUACCGGAGAAUGUUAUCACGGGAGACACACGGCGGGUGCUAACGUCCGUCGUGAAGAGGGAAACAACCCAGACCGCCAGCUAAGGUCCCAAAGUCAUGGUUAAGUGGGAAACGAUGUGGGAAGGCCCAGACAGCCAGGAUGUUGGCUUAGAAGCAGCCAUCAUUUAAAGAAAGCGUAAUAGCUCACUGGUCGAGUCGGCCUGCGCGGAAGAUGUAACGGGGCUAAACCAUGCACCGAAGCUGCGGCAGCGACACUAUGUGUUGUUGGGUAGGGGAGCGUUCUGUAAGCCUGUGAAGGUGGCCUGUGAGGGUUGCUGGAGGUAUCAGAAGUGCGAAUGCUGACAUAAGUAACGAUAAAGCGGGUGAAAAGCCCGCUCGCCGGAAGACCAAGGGUUCCUGUCCAACGUUAAUCGGGGCAGGGUGAGUCGACCCCUAAGGCGAGGCCGAAAGGCGUAGUCGAUGGGAAACAGGUUAAUAUUCCUGUACUUGGUGUUACUGCGAAGGGGGGACGGAGAAGGCUAUGUUGGCCGGGCGACGGUUGUCCCGGUUUAAGCGUGUAGGCUGGUUUUCCAGGCAAAUCCGGAAAACCAAGGCUGAGGCGUGAUGACGAGGCACUACGGUGCUGAAGUGACAAAUGCCCUGCUUCCAGGAAAAGCCUCUAAGCAUCAGGUAACAUCAAAUCGUACCCCAAACCGACACAGGUGGUCAGGUAGAGAAUACCAAGGCGCUUGAGAGAACUCGGGUGAAGGAACUAGGCAAAAUGGUGCCGUAACUUCGGGAGAAGGCACGCUGAUAUGUAGGUGAAGCGACUUGCUCGUGGAGCUGAAAUCAGUCGAAGAUACCAGCUGGCUGCAACUGUUUAUUAAAAACACAGCACUGUGCAAACACGAAAGUGGACGUAUACGGUGUGACGCCUGCCCGGUGCCGGAAGGUUAAUUGAUGGGGUUAGCGGUAACGCGAAGCUCUUGAUCGAAGCCCCGGUAAACGGCGGCCGUAACUAUAACGGUCCUAAGGUAGCGAAAUUCCUUGUCGGGUAAGUUCCGACCUGCACGAAUGGCGUAAUGAUGGCCAGGCUGUCUCCACCCGAGACUCAGUGAAAUUGAACUCGCUGUGAAGAUGCAGUGUACCCGCGGCAAGACGGAAAGACCCCGUGAACCUUUACUAUAGCUUGACACUGAACAUUGAGCCUUGAUGUGUAGGAUAGGUGGGAGGCUUUGAAGUGUGGACGCCAGUCUGCAUGGAGCCGACCUUGAAAUACCACCCUUUAAUGUUUGAUGUUCUAACGUUGGCCCGUAAUCCGGGUUGCGGACAGUGUCUGGUGGGUAGUUUGACUGGGGCGGUCUCCUCCUAAAGAGUAACGGAGGAGCACGAAGGUUGGCUAAUCCUGGUCGGACAUCAGGAGGUUAGUGCAAUGGCAUAAGCCAGCUUGACUGCGAGCGUGACGGCGCGAGCAGGUGCGAAAGCAGGUCAUAGUGAUCCGGUGGUUCUGAAUGGAAGGGCCAUCGCUCAACGGAUAAAAGGUACUCCGGGGAUAACAGGCUGAUACCGCCCAAGAGUUCAUAUCGACGGCGGUGUUUGGCACCUCGAUGUCGGCUCAUCACAUCCUGGGGCUGAAGUAGGUCCCAAGGGUAUGGCUGUUCGCCAUUUAAAGUGGUACGCGAGCUGGGUUUAGAACGUCGUGAGACAGUUCGGUCCCUAUCUGCCGUGGGCGCUGGAGAACUGAGGGGGGCUGCUCCUAGUACGAGAGGACCGGAGUGGACGCAUCACUGGUGUUCGGGUUGUCAUGCCAAUGGCACUGCCCGGUAGCUAAAUGCGGAAGAGAUAAGUGCUGAAAGCAUCUAAGCACGAAACUUGCCCCGAGAUGAGUUCUCCCUGAGACUUAGAGUCUCCUGAAGGAACGUUGAAGACGACGACGUUGAUAGGCCGGGUGUGUAAGCGCAGCGAUGCGUUGAGCUAACCGGUACUAAUGAACCGUGAGGCUUAACC
RNAcentral lists this ribosomal RNA (2893 nucleotides) under Escherichia coli. RNAcentral describes it as "bacterial LSU rRNA". It matches the Rfam family "Bacterial large subunit ribosomal RNA". The record is from RNAcentral. Lineage: Bacteria; Pseudomonadati; Pseudomonadota; Gammaproteobacteria; Enterobacterales; Enterobacteriaceae.